Molecule: long non-coding RNA, 997 nt
Organism: Mercenaria mercenaria
Lineage: Eukaryota; Metazoa; Mollusca; Bivalvia; Venerida; Veneridae
Exons: 2
Source: RefSeq, a predicted model, not a curated record
AUGAGUGAAUGUUGGUUAAAGAUAAGAUUAAUGAUAGAUCAAGUUACAAACUCCCACACUAAUGUAUAGAAACAACCCCAGGUGGAAUUUGGGUCAGUUAAGAUUUAUAUAUGCAGGCAAACAUGAGGUCAGAAGCAAAGAAAUAGUUCUUGCCUUUUCUCUUCAUUAAUUGAUAAAAAAACAAGUGUAUAUAAAAAGGAUGUUUUUACAAUAGCUUUUCAACUUUAGUAUUUGACACCAUCUUUAGCUGUCCAAAAAAGUGUAUGUGUGGAAUCAAUUUAUCUGUGUAGUAAUACCAAAAUUUGAAAUCUGGCAUAUGAUGAGUCAGUCUGUGCAGGGAGAAAAUGGGAACACAUUGUGAGAGGUAACAAUAUUAUACUGUUUAUUUUUUUAAAAUUAUUACUGUCUUUGACAUUGUCUUAAUUACUUACUCUUACCAAAUUUAUACUUGAAUUUAAAACAACAUUUACAAAACUGCUUUAAAUUAAAAUCAACAAAAUUUAAUCUCCUUUUAUGUCUUAGGAAGUUUGGCAGAUGGAAAAAUCCCAGAUAUAUUUUCUGGAAUAUAGCUCAGUCAUGUUUAUAACACUGCUUGUAAAAUUGUAUCAUUUUGUAAUUAUUUACAUUAUUGAUUAGUACUAAAGAUACAAUAUAUACUUUAAACUGUUCAUACCAGGGACCUUUUGUGAAAAAAGUGCAACUUUGUGACAUGAUCUGCCUGCCUGACUGUAUAUACCUGAGCAGGCCAUACAGCUUAUUACUGCAUAAAAGAAACAUAUCAAGAUAAUUCUGAAUCAGAUUGUGUGCUGGAAAAAUGGCCUUACAUCCAAAGGAGUGAAAUUUGGAGUCAUUUGCCAUCUACUUAAGCCAUCCUGGAAUAUGAAAAAAUAAGACUGCAUUGACAACAUCCUGAUCCUCGUGUUCAGAUCUUUUGUGAUUUCUUGUGAAGGGUCUUUGAUUUUUGCAUAAAAAUAAAAAAUAUAUUAAUAUAAUUUGA